UAGGAUGUAGUAUAAUUGGAAGUAUAGGGAGUUUUGAUCUCUCUGGUGUAGGUUCGAGUCCUAUUUUUCUAA
Chrysemys picta bellii (western painted turtle) is the source of this 72-nucleotide non-coding RNA. Lineage: Eukaryota; Metazoa; Chordata; Testudines; Emydidae. The record is from Ensembl.